This is a long non-coding RNA of Ipomoea nil (Japanese morning glory), 1516 nucleotides long. RefSeq lists it as uncharacterized. Lineage: Eukaryota; Viridiplantae; Streptophyta; Magnoliopsida; Solanales; Convolvulaceae. The transcript is spliced from 7 exons. The record is from RefSeq and is a predicted model, not a curated record.
AGGGCAUCUCUCUGUUCACUCCAAGGGUUUUAGUGUUUCACGGCAAAGGGUUUCCGCCCUUCACCACUGCCGUCCGCCGCAACCUCCAUAGGUCAGGAAAUCAGCAGCAACCUCCAUAGGUACGUUGGGAAGGGAGGAAAUCGCAACUCCAACAGGUUAAUUUCUACUGAAGGGCUACUGAAGGUCAGCGACCACCGGGAAGGGUUUCUUUGGGUCAGGAAGUCAGCAGCAACCUCCAUAGGUACGCUGGGGAUGGAGGAAAUCGCAACUUCGGUAGGUUAAUUUCUACCGAAGGUCAGCGACCGCCCGGAAGGGUUUCUCUGGGUCAGGAAAUCAGUAGCAACCUCCAUAGAGUGGACUUCCAUUGGUUCAAGCACUAGAUUUUGAGGUUGAGGCUGUUUAAAUGUAGAUUUUGGUUCAGGUUUUGCCGGUGUAACUAUUUCUAUAGUUUCCUGAGAACACCUGCAUUGCAUUGAACUGUUCAACUUUGGGGAAUUUUCUAACUUCAUUCAUUCUCUUGAAGGCAGUAUACAGGUCUACAGAAAUAUCUGUGAUAAUACUGACUUCGUGUACUAGCAAAGCUGAAUCUGAUGGCUAUCAUACUGGGCUAACUUCAGUAUUUUAUCCAAGUUAGAAGCAUAAUUCCCAAAAGCAUCACCUUGUUGUGUAUCUUGUUGAUGCAAACUGAUAGCUGCCACAGUGCUGGCUAGUGCAAUUCUAGCCUACAGUAUCAAUGCUCAAUUAUGACAAUACUUUCCAGCAAUUACCUUGUUCUGCAAUUCUGUAUUCUCUUAACAAAUGAGAUUUAGGUUCUUACAGAGUUCCAUGUUUUAUUGAUGAACAAGACUUCCCUGCAUUGGACAAGAGUCUUAUAUUCAGCAUAAGCAUAAGUACAAUGUAGAAUAGAUCAUUCCGGCUCACUUCAAGUUGAUUCUCCAGAUUUGUCAGAUCUUUGAUACUUAGUCCAAAAAGUUCUUUUCCCAAAAGCUGCCUGCAUUUAUGUGAAACAAAGAACUGAUGGCUCAAAUAGACGGUAGGAUGAAGUUUAGGAAAACGAAGGUGGGUUUUGUUAAGUAUUUAUCAGCUAAACAAGAAUCUCCUAAACAUGAACAAGAAGAUGAUUCUACAGAAGAUCAAAGUAAUGUCAAAGAAUUCGUUGAUAUAACUUCAAUUCGGCAUUCAGUGAGGACAGCUAAAAAACAUUCAAUGAAAUAGUCUCUAUCAUUGUCUCUCUUCUUGUCCAUAUAUAUGACGAAGUGGAAGGAGUUCUUCCCCAAAAAAAAAGACUUGAAGUACUCACCAUACUUUGACAGACAGUGUAUUUGCUAUCCUUCCUCUGAAGCUUUGUGAAGAUGCGAUUAUUUAGCAUCUAUAAUGCAUAGCCAAGAAUUUGGUGCAUUUAGUGAACUAUUUCUCCAAUUCCAUCUUGUUGGGUUGGUUGAAUUGUGAGUCUUUAGUCUUUACAAAUUGUAUGAAACAUUUCAUUUUGGUAGUGAUGAUGAAGUUUUUUAAUAUA